Molecule: ribosomal RNA, 253 nt
Filed under: uncultured bacterium
Lineage: Bacteria
Description: partial 16S ribosomal RNA
Rfam family: Bacterial small subunit ribosomal RNA
Source: RNAcentral
UACAGAGGAUGCAAGCGUUAUCCGGAAUGAUUGGGCGUAAAGCGUCUGUAGGUGGCUUUUUAAGUCCGCCGUCAAAUCCCAGGGCUCAACUCUGGACAGGCGGUGGAAACUACCAAGCUGGAGUACGGUAGGGGCAGAGGGAAUUUCCGGUGGAGCGGUGAAAUGCGUAGAGAUCCGGAGGAACACCAGUGGCGAAGGCGACACGCUGGGCCGUACCUGACGCUAAAGCGCGACAGCAUGGGGAACAAACGGG